CUUUACACAUGCAAGUCGAACGGCAGCACGGGAGCAAUCCUGGUGGCGAGUGGCGAACGGGUGAGUAAUGUAUCGGAACGUACCUUUCAGUGGGGGAUAACGUAGCGAAAGUUACGCUAAUACCGCAUAUUCUGUGAGCAGGAAAGCAGGGGAUCGCAAGACCUUGCGCUGAUUGAGCGGCCGAUAUCAGAUUAGCUAGUUGGUGAGGUAAAGGCUCACCAAGGCGACGAUCUGUAGCGGGUCUGAGAGGAUGAUCCGCCACACUGGAACUGAGACACGGUCCAGACUCCUACGGGAGGCAGCAGUGGGGAAUUUUGGACAAUGGGGGCAACCCUGAUCCAGCCAUGCCGCGUGAGUGAAGGAGGCCUUCGGGUUGUAAAGCUCUUUCAGCCGGGAAGAAAUCACAUGGGUUAAUACCCUGUGUGGAUGACGGUACCGGAAUAAGAAGCACCGGCUAACUACGUGCCAGCAGCCGCGGUAAUACGUAGGGUGCGAGCGUUAAUCGGAAUUACUGGGCGUAAAGCGUGCGCAGGCGGUUGUGUAAGACAGGCGUGAAAUCCCCGGGCUCAACCUGGGAACUGCGCUUGUGACUGCACAGCUAGAGUACGGCAGAGGGGGGUGGAAUUCCACGUGUAGCAGUGAAAUGCGUAGAGAUGUGGAGGAACACCGAUGGCGAAAGGCAGCCCCCUGGGUCGAUACUGACGCUCAUGCACGAAAGCGUGGGUAGCAAACAGGAUUAGAUACCCU
This 747-nucleotide ribosomal RNA is filed under the name uncultured bacterium. RNAcentral describes it as "bacterial SSU rRNA". It matches the Rfam family "Bacterial small subunit ribosomal RNA", at positions 47 to 788 of the family's 1533-position model. The record is from RNAcentral.